This 723-nucleotide ribosomal RNA is filed under the name uncultured Pseudomonadota bacterium. RNAcentral's name for it is "bacterial SSU rRNA". It matches the Rfam family "Bacterial small subunit ribosomal RNA", at positions 29 to 741 of the family's 1533-position model. The record is from RNAcentral. Lineage: Bacteria; Pseudomonadati; Pseudomonadota.
UUGAACGCUGGCGGCAGGCCUAACACAUGCAAGUCGAACGGUAACAGGAAACAGCUUGCUGUUUCGCUGACGAGUGGCGGACGGGUGAGUAAUGUCUGGGAAACUGCCUGAUGGAGGGGGAUAACUACUGGAAACGGUAGCUAAUACCGCAUAACGUCGCAAGACCAAAGAGGGGGACCCUCGGGCCUCUUGCCAUCGGAUGUGCCCAGAUGGGAUUAGCUUGUUGGUGGGGUAACGGCUCACCAAGGCGACGAUCCCUAGCUGGUCUGAGAGGAUGACCAGCCACACUGGAACUGAGACACGGUCCAGACUCCUACGGGAGGCAGCAGUGGGGAAUAUUGCACAAUGGGCGCAAGCCUGAUGCAGCCAUGCCGCGUGUAUGAAGAAGGCCUUCGGGUUGUAAAGUACUUUCAGCGGGGAGGAAGGGAGUAAAGUUAAUACCUUUGCUCAUUGACGUUACCCGCAGAAGAAGCACCGGCUAACUCCGUGCCAGCAGCCGCGGUAAUACGGAGGGUGCAAGCGUUAAUCGGAAUUACUGGGCGUAAAGCGCACGCAGGCGGUUUGUUAAGUCAGAUGUGAAAUCCCCGGGCUCAACCUGGGAACUGCAUCUGAUACUGGCAAGCUUGAGUCUCGUAGAGGGGGGUAGAAUUCCAGGUGUAGCGGUGAAAUGCGUAGAGAUCUGGAGGAAUACCGGUGGCGAAGGCGGCCCCCUGGACGAAGACU